This 439-nucleotide ribosomal RNA is filed under the name uncultured bacterium. Its description in RNAcentral is "partial 16S ribosomal RNA". It matches the Rfam family "Bacterial small subunit ribosomal RNA", at positions 339 to 795 of the family's 1533-position model. The record is from RNAcentral.
CUACGGGAUGCACCAGUGGGGAAUAUUGCACAAUGGACGAAAGUCUGAUGCAGCAACGCCGCGUGGAGGGUGACACAUUUCGGUGCGUAAACUCCUUUUAUAUAGGAAGAUAAUGACGGUACUAUAUGAAUAAGCGCCGGCUAACUCCGUGCCAGCAGCCGCGGUAAUACGUAGGGCGCAAGCGUUACUCGGAAUCACUGGGCGUAAAGAGCGUGUAGGCGGAUAGAUAAGUCAGGAGUGAAAUCCUAUGGCUCAACCAUAGAACUGCUCUUGAAACUGUCUAUCUAGAAUAUGGGAGAGGUAGAUGGAAUUUCUGGUGUAGGGGUAAAAUCCGUAGAGAUCAGAAGGAAUACCGAUUGCGAAGGCGAUCUACUGGAACAUUAUUGACGCUGAGACGCGAAAGCGUGGGGAGCAAACAGGAUUAGAUACCCUGGUAGUC